Molecule: ribosomal RNA, 855 nt
Filed under: Achromobacter spanius
Lineage: Bacteria; Pseudomonadati; Pseudomonadota; Betaproteobacteria; Burkholderiales; Alcaligenaceae
Description: bacterial SSU rRNA
Rfam family: Bacterial small subunit ribosomal RNA
Source: RNAcentral
AGCGGGAUGCCUUACACAUGCAAGUCGAACGGCAGCACGGACUUCGGUCUGGUGGCGAGUGGCGAACGGGUGAGUAAUGUAUCGGAACGUGCCUAGUAGCGGGGGAUAACUACGCGAAAGCGUAGCUAAUACCGCAUACGCCCUACGGGGGAAAGCAGGGGAUCGUAAGACCUUGCACUAUUAGAGCGGCCGAUAUCGGAUUAGCUAGUUGGUGGGGUAACGGCUCACCAAGGCGACGAUCCGUAGCUGGUUUGAGAGGACGACCAGCCACACUGGGACUGAGACACAGCCCAGACUCCUACGGGAGGCAGCAGUGGGGAAUUUUGGACAAUGGGGGAAACCCUGAUCCAGCCAUCCCGCGUGUGCGAUGAAGGCCUUCGGGUUGUAAAGCACUUUUGGCAGGAAAGAAACGUUCCGGGUUAAUACCCCGGGAAACUGACGGUACCUGCAGAAUAAGCACCGGCUAACUACGUGCCAGCAGCCGCGGUAAUACGUAGGGUGCAAGCGUUAAUCGGAAUUACUGGGCGUAAAGCGUGCGCAGGCGGUUCGGAAAGAAAGAUGUGAAAUCCCAGAGCUUAACUUUGGAACUGCAUUUUUAACUACCGAGCUAGAGUGUGUCAGAGGGAGGUGGAAUUCCGCGUGUAGCAGUGAAAUGCGUAGAUAUGCGGAGGAACACCGAUGGCGAAGGCAGCCUCCUGGGAUAACACUGACGCUCAUGCACGAAAGCGUGGGGAGCAAACAGGAUUAGAUACCCUGGUAGUCCACGCCCUAAACGAUGUCAACUAGCUGUUGGGGCCUUCGGGCCUUGGAAGCGCAGCUAACGCGUGAAGUUGACCGCCUGGGGAGUACGGUCGC